Molecule: long non-coding RNA, 1111 nt
Organism: Amphiprion ocellaris (clown anemonefish)
Lineage: Eukaryota; Metazoa; Chordata; Actinopteri; Pomacentridae
Source: Ensembl
GGUUUAUUGAAAGAAAUAUUUUGAAAUUUUAUAAAGUUCAACCAUUGCUAAUGCUAUCACACAAUCAGAACCUGGAGCGUCACUGUUUCCCGCCAACCUUCUUCAGUCUUUGAUAUGAAUGGUGUUUUCUGAGCCUCGAGAAACACUCCUCUGGUCAGCCCUGCAUUUUAAUCUAAUGGUUAAACAACGUACCAUAGGCUGCCGUGGAAUAUAUGCCAUUAAAAAGAUCUCCAGAACAUCUGUGACAAGUUUUUUUUUCUGGGACAUCUCAUGACUCAGUGCUUUUCAGUGAAAUGUGAUUUUAACACCUCACACACUGAAAACAAAGUAAGCUGUGGUCCAGAGCUGCACUCAUAUGUCCAUGAUAGUCGGAGUGUGGCCUGUCCCAAAUGGGCUAAACAGGAUUUCUACUAUUUUAGGUACACUUGAUUUAACUUUUCAAGUCAAAGUGGAGCAAGGUAAGGAAAAUCAAGUGCUCCUGGAUGUUUGGGAAGCAUUUAAACAGUUCGGUCCAGGACUGCCACACAUGCAUCACUCCGGUACAGUGGUUUGCAACCAAAGAUACAAAUAUACAAUAUAAUAUUGUAUCAUCUAGGAUCACUAUAUUUGCAGCUAUUCAGUACCCCUCUAGUCCAUGAUCUGGAAGUAGUAUGUAUAUAUAAGUAUAUAUAAAUAUGACACUCCCACAACCCUGAAGAAUUCAGUGUUUCACUCUACACACAGUCUGCAAGCAUACAGCAAAAAUCAGCUGCUUUGCACAUGAAAUCUUCUCAUUGCUGGAUGAUUUUCAGUGCAGCAUGCAAGUAAAAAUGUGCACAAUACUAAAAGUCUUUAGCUUCAUCAUAACCAUCCUCUUCAUUACAUCCAUUUAUACCAUGGACAGCUCUUUCUUUUCAAUAAGGUGAUUAUUUUAAUAAGAAAUUAGAGCAGACUUUAUUUAUUUAGUAUAUUUUCCUCUAUAGUAUUCUGCAUUUCAAAGCAUGCCAAAGAAAUUUUUCAGUUUCUGCAUAGUGCUGGCUAUACGAGUGCCAAAGAGUUUGAUUCCUUUACAAGUAGUAGAAGUUGGUAUGUACAGGAGUGGCAGAGCAGAUCCAGUGUUGUGUAAACGGUA